This 465-nucleotide ribosomal RNA is filed under the name uncultured bacterium. Its description in RNAcentral is "partial 16S ribosomal RNA". It matches the Rfam family "Bacterial small subunit ribosomal RNA", at positions 28 to 507 of the family's 1533-position model. The record is from RNAcentral.
GACGAACGCUGGCGGCGUGCUUAACACAUGCAAGUCGAACGGAAAGGCCCCUUUGGGGGUACUCGAGUGGCGAACGGGUGAGUAACACGUGAGUAACCUGCCCUUGACUUCGGGAUAACUUCAGGAAACUGGGGCUAAUACCGGAUAGGAAUCCUUGCUGCAUGGUGGGGGUUGGAAAGUUUCGGCGGUUUUGGAUGGACUCGCGGCUUAUCAGCUUGUUGGUGGGGUAGUGUCUUACCAAGGCUUUGACGGGUAGCCGGCCUGAGAGGGCGACCGGCCACAUAGGGACUGAGGUACGGCAGAGACUGCUACGGGGGGGAGCAGGGGGGAAUAUUGAACAAUGGGCGGAGGGCUGGUGAAGCAACGCCGCGUGCGGGAUGACGGCCUUCGGGUUGUAGACCGCAUUCAGAAGGGGCGAAGCUUGUGGUGACGGUACCUGCAGAAGAAGCACCGGCUAACUACGUG